CCUACGGGGGGCAGCAGUGGGGAAUAUUGCACAAUGGGGGAAACCCUGAUGCAGCGAAGCCGCGUGAGUGAGGAAGUAUUUCGGUAUGUAAAGCUCUAUCUGUAGAGAAGAAAAGGACGGUACCUGACUAAGAAGCCACGGAUAACUACGUUCCAGCAGCUGCGGUAACACGUGGGGGGCAAGCGUUAUCCGGAUUUACUGGGUUUAAAGGGAGCGUAGACGGGUUAGCAAGUCAGAUGUGAAAAUCCGGGGCCCAACCUCGGAACUGCAGUUGAAACUGUAUGUCUUGAGUGGCGGAGAGGCAAGCGGAAUGCCUGGUGUAGCGGUGAAAUGCUUAGAUAUCAGGAAGAACACCAGUGGCGAAGGCAGCUUGCUGGACUAUGACUGACGUUGAGGCUCGAAAGCGUGGGGAGCAAACAGGAUUAGAUACCCUUGUAGUC
This 440-nucleotide ribosomal RNA is filed under the name uncultured bacterium. RNAcentral's name for it is "partial 16S ribosomal RNA". It matches the Rfam family "Bacterial small subunit ribosomal RNA", at positions 338 to 795 of the family's 1533-position model. The record is from RNAcentral.